This 440-nucleotide ribosomal RNA is filed under the name uncultured bacterium. RNAcentral describes it as "bacterial SSU rRNA". It matches the Rfam family "Bacterial small subunit ribosomal RNA", at positions 338 to 773 of the family's 1533-position model. The record is from RNAcentral.
CCUACGGGUGGCUGCAGUCGAGAAUUUUUGGCAAUGGGGGAAACCCUGACCAAGCGAUGCCGCGUGCGGGAUGAAGGCCUUCGGGUUGUAAACCGCUGUCAGUGGGGAGAAAAGGAUGGUGAGUUCUCUCAUCAUUUUGAUCUAUCCGCAGAGGAAGUGUGGGCUAAGCUCGUGCCAGCAGCCGCGGUAAGACGAGCCACACAAACGUUAUUCGGAAUUACUGGGCUUAAAGGGUGCGUAGGCUGCGCGGAAAGUUGGGUGUGAAAUACCUCGGCUCAACCGAGGAACUGCGCCCAAAACUACCGUGCUCGAGGAAGAUAGAGGUGAGCGGAACUUACGGUGGAGCGGUGAAAUGCGUUGAUAUCGUAAGGAACACCCGUGGCGAAAGCGGCUCACUGGGUCUUAUCUGACGCUGAUGCACGAAAGCUAGGGGAGCAAAC